RNAcentral lists this ribosomal RNA (576 nucleotides) under uncultured eukaryote. Its description in RNAcentral is "eukaryotic LSU rRNA". The stretch from base 182 to 335 matches the Rfam family "5.8S ribosomal RNA". The record is from RNAcentral.
AACGAGGUCUCCGUUGGUGAACCAGCGGAGGGAUCAUUAUCGAGUUAUUCAACUCCCAAACCCUAUGUGAACUUACCACUUGUUGCUUCGGCGCGCGCUUCGGCGCCGCCGAGGACACUUAAACUCUUUGUUUUUAUAAGCAUUUCUGAGUGGCCGAAAGGCAAAAAUACAAAUGAAUCAAAACUUUCAACAACGGAUCUCUUGGUUCUGGCAUCGAUGAAGAACGCAGCGAAAUGCGAUAAGUAAUGUGAAUUGCAGAAUUCAGUGAAUCAUCGAAUCUUUGAACGCACAUUGCGCCCGCCAGCAUUCUGGCGGGCAUGCCUGUUCGAGCGUCAUUUCAACCCUCGAGCCCGACUCUUUUGAGGACGGCUCGGCGUUGGGGGACGGCAGACUCCCCCCGGCAUCUCGCCGGGGACGCCGCCCCCGAAAUCUAGUGGCGGCCCUCCGAGGCGACCUCUGCGUAGUAACUUGUUCUCGCACCGGAAAGCUCAGAGCGGCCACGCCGUAAAACCCCAACUUUUUUCAGGUUGACCUCGAAUCAGGUAGGACUACCCGCUGAACUUAAGCAUAUCAAUA